GAAAAACAUGAAUUAUUUUUAUAAUGUCAGCUAAUCCACAGCUGUGCCACCUGUUAGUAUGGAUGCUAUCCAAAAGGAUUUUUGAAACCUUGUUAUCCAAAUGCAGAAAUGGCAGCUGAAGAGAUGAUUUGUGACAGCAUUUGCUGAGACGAAGUCUGUCCACUAGAUGGAUAAAAUCAGUUCCCUUUUCAUAGCUUGAUCAUCUACAUCUGCUAGUGACCCAGUCCCUGAGAGUCACCAAGAAUUGAUUCCACUGAGGCGAUGGCAGGCGGGGCUUUGGUGUUGGAAAAGUCAGUGGUUGAUAUGGACAGCACAGACUCACAUAAGCUGCUGGUUUAUUACACUAGAAAAAUAAGGCUCUUUUAAUGCAAGAGAAAGAAAACCAGCUACAACCACCUAAAAUCAAAUGGGGAGUUUCAUGGUGCACAUCCACAAAGUGGACAUGUCAGGACAGGGGAACAUCUGGAUCACAAGAAUGCCGGUUCCCAAAGACAAUAAGGAUGGUUUCCAGCCUCUACUAUUUCUGCACUGCGAAGCCAUCAUCUCCAUUUCAGACUUUCCCACUAAGCAGGAAAUACAAUUGCCAACAGCAGCUAGCUUCGUACCUCAAAGCAACACCAGAAAGAAGAAGCAUUUCCAUCGAGGGAAGGAGUGAGUG
RNAcentral lists this long non-coding RNA (658 nucleotides) under Homo sapiens (human). RNAcentral describes it as "non-protein coding lnc-WDR17-1:2". Lineage: Eukaryota; Metazoa; Chordata; Mammalia; Primates; Hominidae. The record is from RNAcentral.